AGGGUGUAAACGCUGCAGACUUGGUGUUGGAGGCCCUUUGGGGGGCAUUCAGUGCCGGAGAGGAGUUGUUAAGUCUGCUACUUGGGGAGUACGUCCGCAAGGAUGAAACUUAAAGGAAUUGGCGGGGGAGCACCGCAACGGGAGGAGCGUGCGGUUUAAUUGGAUUCAACACCGUAAAACUCACCAGGGAAGACUGUUACAUGAAGGCCGAGAUGAAGACUCUGCUAGAUUUUCAGAGAGGUGGUGCAUGGCGUCAGUGACU
Molecule: ribosomal RNA, 262 nt
Filed under: uncultured archaeon
Lineage: Archaea
Description: partial 16S ribosomal RNA
Rfam family: Archaeal small subunit ribosomal RNA
Source: RNAcentral